AUACGGAGGCUCCGAGCGUUAUCCGGAUUUAUUGGGUUUAAAGGGUGCGCAGGCGGGCGAUUAAGUCGGCGGUGAAAUUUUGCAGCUCCACUGUAGAAGUGUCUUCCAAAAUGGUUUCCUUGCGUGUUAGUGACGGAGGCGGAAUUUGAGGUGUCGCGGUGAAAUGCAUAGAUAUCACGAGGAACUCCGAUUACGCAGGCAACUUACUAAACGACUACUGGCGCUCAGGCACGAAAGCGUGUGGAUCAAACAUGAUUAGAUACCCUGGUAGUGCACGCAGUAAACGAUGAUUACUAGCUGUUUGCGAUACAAUGUAAGCGGCUGAGCGAAAGCGUUAAGGAAUCCACCUGGGGAGUACGUUCGCAAGAAGGAAACUCAAAUGAAGUGACUGGG
This 393-nucleotide ribosomal RNA is filed under the name uncultured bacterium. RNAcentral describes it as "partial 16S ribosomal RNA". It matches the Rfam family "Bacterial small subunit ribosomal RNA", at positions 523 to 918 of the family's 1533-position model. The record is from RNAcentral.